ACUGGAGAGGCAGAGCGCGAGUCAGCCGAGGCUCCCGCCCGCAGGGGGCGCGGCCCUGGGGCAGGAACGGGGAGGGGCGGGCACGCCCUCUGCCGGCCCGGGGCGGAGUUGCCCACCGUGGCCACUCGGCCACUUGCCGGGCUCAACGGCCCGGCCCGGGAUGGUGCAACUCGCUAGUUGGGAAACGGAUCUGCCAAGAAGCUUCCGGCCCACCCUCCGAGAGAGCAAAGGAGAGGUAAGAAGCUCCACAAAGUCAACAGCCAAGCCCAUUCUGUCCAGUGGACAUCUGGAGACCUGGAGAACCAUGCUGCUUCCCAGGGAGGUUGGUAAGCAGAGUGUGGUGGCGCACACCUAUAAUCCCAGCAUUUGGGAGACUGAGGCAGGAGGAUCGCCAUGAGCUUGAGGCUAGCCUGGACUACAGAACAACAUCCUGUCUCAAGGGGCUGGGGUUUUAGCUCAGUGGCAUAAGCAUCUGCCUUGCAAGCAGGCAGUUGUGAAUUUGAUCCCCAGUACCAAUAAAAAGGAAAAAGACAAAAAAAAAAAAAAAGUGAAAGAUCCUGUCUCAAAAAAACAAAGCUGGGCAUGGUGGCACUUAGUAGGAUUGCUGAGUUCAAGGGCAGCCUAGGUUUCACAGUAAACUCAAGGCCAGCCUGAACUACAUAGCAAGAUCCUGUCUCAGAAAACAAACAACAACAACAAAAAUAAAGUAAAAUUUAAAAAAAACUCCAAAGGAGCCUGGUGGCAACUGCAGGGACCCAAUCCUACCUCCCCACCCCCACCACAUGCCUGCCCAGCCCAGCAGCCCCAGCUGCGUGGUAGCCUCCCCCCACUAUGUCCCCCCUCACCGAUCAUGGUGCAUGAGCAUGUUGACAAUGUCCUUGAACAAGUCAGGCUGUUUAGGGGAGAAGAAGCCACUGCUUAGCUGCUCGAUGAUCUGUCGGAGCUCAGGAAUGCGGUCAUAGUACUCCUGGGCAUUGUACCUGCAGGGCAGAGCUCCAUCAGCUGGUGCUUGCUCCAGGGAUCCAGAAAGUCCCAAGCCUCGGCCUGCCGCUGCCCUCCCUGGAGCUGCCACCCAAGCCCGCUCUGGAGGUCCUUCCUCACCACUCCUCUCCCUUCCCGGCUCAUUUUUCCUUCCCUACUUUGAUGAUGAAGAAACUCAGGCCUGGAGGAAACAAAAAGGUAAUGCUUAAAAAGCCACAGGCCCUACAAAAGAGGGCUCUUACAGGCGUGCACGCAUGCACCACCAUUGUGUCCCCUCCAUGACGGACUGGGGCUGAGGUGUGGCUCAAGCAUAGGACGCUUGCCUAGCAAGCACAAGGCCCUUGGUUCCAUUCCCAACACCACCAAAAAACCACCAUGACUAUCUUUUCUCCGCCAGUGUCCUAACCCCAUCCCUGGCCUAGCCGUUGGCUAUAGGAGGCACCAGCAGACACAUUCUCGGAAGGGCCUGCUCAGCUCAGCCAGUCCCGCCGAGCUCAUCACAGGCCUUGUGCCAACUUUCUUCCUCUUGUUGGUUUGUUCUUUGAGACAGAAUCUCACUAUGUAGUCCAGGCAGGCCAGCAGGCCUCAAAUUCACUACAUGGCUCAGGCGAGCCUCAGGCUUAUGAUCCUCCUGCCUCAGCCUCUGGAAUUACAAGCAGGUGUCAUCAUACCCAACUUGCCUCCACUUUCUAAGGCAGCACAACCCCUCCCUCAGGAUCAAAAUCCCUCCCCAUGCCAGCCUGGUCCCCUUCACCGCAAGUGCUCUUCCAGUGAGAUACCAAGACCUCUUCCAUGUCUCUGACCCCAGUCCUCUGAGCUAUUCAGCUACAGGUGACUCCUCUGCCUACAGUGUCAGCUCCCACUCUGGUCCCCACCUGCGCCCUGAAACCCAGCCUUCAUCCUGCAGUCAGAAUUAUUCUAAAGCCUCAGCCAAAACACUGGAGAGUAUGCUCAAAACAUCUCACAGCCACCUGUUCCCCAAGGACAGUCUGCGCUUUCUAGUCAAGCCCCACAGAAAUUCCUUGCAGCAUUGAAUACCAGCUCUCCUAAGUCAUGAUGGGGGCAUAAUGGCACCAACUUUCUGGGAAGCAAUUUGGAUCUCCGUGUUAGAGCCUCAAGAACUUGUGCUUAAAGCUGGAUGUGGUGGCACACACCUGUAAUCCCAGCACUCAGGAGGUUGAGGCAGGAGGAUCAUGAGUUCGAGACCAGCCUGGGCUACAGAGUGCUCAAGGCCAACCCAAACUGCAUAGAGAGACCCUGUCUCAAAAGGACCAGAAAGCAAGCAAGCAAGCAAGCAAGUGAAAGAAAGAAAGAAACAAACAAACAAAGAAAAAAAAAAAGAAAGAAAGAAAGGGAGGAAGAGAAAAAAACAACUGGGAUGGUGGAAAGGAGAAAAGAAAGAAGGGAAAACAUAACUAUACUACUAAUCUCUGUUAGUCCGUCAAAAAGAACAAUUUGUGAUUUCAUUAAUUGAUGAUUGUUUUCAGCUAUUUUAUAAUCUGAGCAACUACUUUGAAGAUAAUGCAAAAUAUAUUAACCAUUGUUAAUCUCCUAUAUUGUUUUGAAAUUCUGUAUCAUUUUUAUUCUUUAUUCAGUUUUUUAAAAAUACAAAGGAUUAGGGAUGUAGGUCAGUGAUAGAGCAUCCCUUCUGUCUAAUUACCAGUGCCACAAAAAAAAAAAAAAAUAAAGAAAAUUGGAGUUGGGGAUUUAGUUCAGUGGCAUAAGCACCUGCCUUGCAAGCAGGUGGUUGUGAGUUCAAUCCCCGGUACCGAUAAAAACAUAAAAAAUUAAAAUAAAUUGAAAUAAAUUCAUUCUUAACCACCCACCUACAUACAAUAUCCUAUUCUAAUUCUUUUAAGGAAGUAAUCAUGGCUGUAAACAUAGAUGCAAAAAGUUGUUCACUGAAGUACUAUUUAGACUAACAGGCUUAAUCAACCUGAAUACCCAGCCAUAUGAUAUUGGUUAAACAGUAUGUCAUGGUUAGCCAAGCAUGGUGCUGCACUCUGUAAUCCCAGCACUGGGCGAGCUGAGGCAGGAGGAUUGCUGCGAGUUCAAGGGCAGCCCAGGCUACAUAGUGAGUUCAGGAUCAGCCUGAACUGCAUAGGGAGACCCUGUCUCAAAAAAGGAAAGAGAAAGGUGGGAGAGAGACAGAGAUAAAGACAGAGACAAAAACAGAAACAGAGACAGAGACAGAAUGAGAAGGAAAGGAAAGGAAAGGAGAGGAGAGGAAAGACUAGAAAAGGAAAGAGAAAAAAAGAAAAAGAAACGAAAAGGCUGAGGAUGUAGCUAAGUGUAGGGACCUGGAUUCAGUCCUCAGUACUGCAAAUACCAAUACUACUGCUACUACUAAUAAUGUGCCAUACCCAUAGGGUGCAAUCCUAUAUGAUUUUUUGAGAUGGUCUCACUAUGCAGCCUAGGCUGGCCUUAAAGUCUGCCUCACAAAUGCAGAAAUUACAGGCAUGCACCACCACUCCCAGCAUAUAUGACUUGUUUUGUUUGUUUGUUUGAGACAGGGUCUGGCUGUGUGGUUCAGGCUGGCCUUGAACUCACUAUGGAGCCCAGGUUGGCCUGAAACUUGGGGGACUCCCCACCUCAGCCUCCUGAGUGCUGGGGUCACAGACAUGCAGCACCACACCUGGCUCUAUAUACAUAUUUACAAUAUUUUUGAAGACUAAUGACAUGAGAGGUGGGUAUGGAGGCUCGGGAGGCUGAGGCAGGAGGAACACAAAGGAGGACAAGUUUGCACUCAGACUGGGCAACUUGGUGAUUUAGCAAGGCCCUGUCUCAAAGAACAAAAUAGCUUUAAACCCACUCUGAGAGUAUGAAAAGCAGUUAUUUCUCUUUUGUUUUUUAUUUUUCUAAGUAAUGAGCAGAUGUUACUUUUUUGAUAAUCACAUUUAAAAAUAAAUUUUGGGGGGAUUUAGCUCAGUGGUAUAAGAGCCUGCCCUUGCAAGUGUGAGGUCAUGAGUUCAAUCCCCGGUACCAAAAAAAGAGAGAGAAAAAAGAAAGAAAACAAAAGAAAAUCUAAAGACAGUGACUAAUAGAAAAAUAAAUUUUGGGAGCCGGGGAUUUAGCUCAGCAGCAUAAGUGCCUGCCCUGCAAGCGCACAGUCAUGAGUUCGAUUCUCAGUGCCAAAAAAUAUAAAAAUAAAUUUUGGGGCCAGGGGUUUAGCUCAGUGGAACAAGCGCUUGCCUGGCAAGUGUGAGGUCAUGAGCUCGAUUCCUGGUACCAUCCAUAUAAAUAGGUAAAUAAAUAAAUUUUGCUGGAAACUGGUAGUACAUGGCUGUAAUCUUAGCACUCAGGAGACUGAGGCAAGAUAAUCACAAGUUUGAGCCAGCCUGGACUAUGCAACAAGCUCUAGGCUGACCUGAGCAAGCUAUAUAGCCAGGAUCAAAAACAAUUAAUGUCAGGAAAUUUGUCUCCUCUUAUGGCUUUCCAGGAACUAAUGAUUUAAUUUCACCUCCAUUUCUGAAUAGUAUCUCUUGAGACUGGUAUAAUUUUCUUUCUUUUCCUUCAGUUCUAAUUUUGGUUAAUUGUGACAGCCUCUCACUUGGUAGUGCAGGCUGACCAGACUCUCUGUGUAUCUCAGACUGGCCUCAAGCUUGCAACCCUCCCGCCUCAGCCUCCCCAGUGCUAGGAUGACAGGUGUGUACCAGUGGGCUCAGUUCUUUCCUUCCAUUCUGUGUUACUUCUUUUAUCCCAUUAAGUGUAUGUGCUGUAAGCUCCCCCAGAAGUUUUUUGGAGGAUGUGGGCUUAGUGGUAGAGCACGUUCCCAGCAGACAUGGAACUCAGUUCAAGCCCCAGCACUGCCCAAAUUUCCAUCCCAUCCCUGGCAGCCACGCCUCAGCCCUCCUGCCCUGACCCAUGCACGGCAUACCCCCUCUGGUCAAGCCUGUCCACGUCCUCCACCCGCAUGCCGAAGAUGAAGAAGUUCUCCUCCCCUGCCUCCUCUGCCAUCUCUACGUUGGCCCCAUCCAUGGUGCCGAUGGUCAGAGCCCCGUUGAGCAUGAACUUCAUGUUGCCCGUGCCUGAGGCCUCCGUGCCCGCUGUGGAGAUCUGCUCAGAGAGGUCAGCAGCCGGGAUCACUGGAGGACAGCAGUAAGGGGCAGGGUCAGCUCAGGGAACUGUCCUGCCCAAGGUGGGCAUAGCCAGAUGCAAAGUCCCCUGUGCCCCAACCCUCUGAUCCUCACCAACUAAUUUCCUAUUGCCAGCUUCACCCUUUUGCAAUUUAUUUUCUUUAACUAGGAAUUGAACUCAGGGCCUGGAGCUUGCAGGGCAGUUACUGCCCAAUGGAGCUACAUCUCUGAUUCGUGGUGAUUCUUUAAUACCUGGAAUCCAGCCUGGACCCUGUGUCUACUUCCCCCGGAUUCCACGCUGUGCUGCCUGUAAUCCCACAGAGGGACACCCUUGCCCAGGAAAGCUUGCUAAUGUCUCUCCUGGGGCCCAGUCCAUUCGAGCCUCCAGGGUCCCCGCAGCAGCACCCACCUUUUUCAGCCAGUGAGACCCGGUAGUUCUCCAGGAAAAUGACUCGAAGGCGGUCGCCCACCACUGGGUCGUGGUUUACCACGUCCCCGAUGGCAGUGAUGAGUCUGAUGAUCAUCUUGGCCAUGUGGUAGCCGGGAGCAGCCUGCGGGGCACAGUGUAGGCUCGGCGCUGAGGCCUUAGCCUCACGCACAACCUGUCCUACUGCUUGGCCAGGCUCAUUCCACCAGACGGAGGGCAGCAGUGCAGAGCCCUGGGCCAGGCCUAGCUUCUUACCUUGCCCCCGAUCAUCACAGUCCGUGGCACAACGAACUUGUUAGGCUCCUUCUUGAUGCCUGUGGAGAAGAGAGGGACAGAGGUGGCCGACCACCAUCCCACCCCGGCUAGGCGCUCCCAAUGGUACCCUGGCAGCCAGCGCCCAUGCUAGGAGGCAGCAGCCUGAAUUUCCCCAGUCCCUGGCUCUGUGGCUGUCAAGGCCCCAUGCUGAGCUUUGGUUUGGCUAUCUAUGGAAUAGGUAUCGUUCCCUAUCCUAGGAGCUGUCACCAGCCAAGGAGCUACUGAUCAGGUAGUGUGUGACCUCCUGGAGGGAUACAGAGGGGAGGACUGGGCUGCGUGGUGGUCCCGCCACUCACGGUUGUACAGGGUGAUGACAUGGAGGCAGUUGAGGAGCUGGCGCUUGUAUUCAUGAAUCCGUUUCACCUGGACAUCGAAGAGUGAAUUGGGGUUGAUGUGGACUUUGUACUCUCUCUCCAGGUACGCAGAGAACUUCAGUUUGUUUUCCUGCAGGGAGGGGAAGGAGAAGGCUCACCAAGAUGCUGAUGGAUGGAAGGUCCUCACUGCCUCCUUCCCGCCAGCCCCAGGAAGGUGGACGGCAGGAGGCUCACUGCUGCCCUCGCCAGGCAGACAGGGCCAGGGCAGAUCGGUGGUUACUCUGGUUACUCCUGGCAGGACCUGGGCAGGACAGGCGGGGCAGCUCUAUCUGCCCCUCCCCCACUUCCCAAGGGCCACCCCUGGCCCUCGUGGUGUCCCAGGCUGUGGCGCUGCCCACCUGCUUCACUUUGGCCACAUCCCUGAUAAAGGCUUCAUCAUCCACAUAGGAGAGCAGUUUGCGCAGCUGGUCCAGGUCCGAGAUGUACUCCUCCCCGAUGCGCUGUGGGCAGGCGGCUCUCAGGAAAACCACACCCUCUGUCACCCUUCUCCCAGACACAGAGGGGUCCCUCUUUUCCAGCUCAGCUGGGCCUGCCACCUGGCUCUGGGAUCCUCCCAGCCACUUUCCUGCCAUCCCAUCUGAGCUCUGGUGGCUGGCCUAACCGGCCCCAGCCACCCCAGCAGGCUUCCCUGGACUCCUGGACUUCUCUCAAGUCCCUUCUACCAGACACUGGCUCCUGCAGUCUCAUUUCAGAUGGGUCCCACUGAAGUUCCCUCCCUCCUUAGACCAGCACCCCCAGCAGGCUGGCUUUCCUAGCCAGGGCCCCAUGAGCCCAGAGGCCGCAUGCAUGCACUUAAGAAAAGGCACCACCUAGGUACUCGGGAUUUAGCUCAGCGGCAUAAGCGCCUGCCUUGCAAGCAGGCAGUCGUGAGUUUGAUCCCCAGUACCGAUAAAAAUGAAAAAGACAAAAAAAAAAAAAGAAAGAAAGAAAGAAAAGGCACCACCUAUCUUGGGGACACAGUGCAGGAUGAAUUUCAGCCCUCAACGUUGAGUCCCUGUGCUGUGAGCACAAUACCCAAGUGACCCCUGCAGUGCCCUGCAGUGGCUUUACCGCCCCUCACCUCAGCAAUGACCUCUGCCAGCCCAGGGUUACACAGAACCAGCCAGCGCCGAGGGGUGAUGCCAUUGGUCUUAUUCUGGAAUUUAUGAGGCUCCAGCUCAUAGAAGUCCUUGAAACUGCAAGGUGGAGGGGGAUGCGCAUCACCACUCACCCCUACAAGGGCCCUUCUCCCAGAAGCCCCUAGCUCUUCCCGAAAGGGGCUUCUCCUGGGAUCCUGUGAGAGGAGGUCACCGGGGACAGGACUGUACUAGAAGGGGCUGUGAGAGUGUGCACUGUCUGUGGGUAGGACCCACUACGGGAGGCUGGGGCUGGAGAAUAGGCUCACAUGGUCUUCUUGAGGAUCUCAGAGUGGAUGCGGGCCACACCAUUGACUGCAUGCGAGCCAGCAAUGCACAGGUGCGCCAUGUUGAUUCGCUUCACCGCACCCUCCUCCACCAGUGACAUGCGCCGCAGCCGGUCUACGUCCCCAGGGAAGGAAGCCGCCACUCGCUGUGCCCAAAAGAGCCCAGAACUGGCACCAGAGCCCAAAAACCUUGGUCCCUAGACCCAAUCUCCAAGGCUCUGCUCAGAGCUGUGCUCACACCCGAGGCCCCAGAUCCUGGCCAGCCACCCUUCCAGCUGCCUACUGGUCAUGCCCCCUUCCCGGCUCACAUUCAGGAAGCGCUGGUUGAUCUCGUAGAUGAUCUGCAGGUGCCGGGGCAGCAGCGUCUCCAGGAGGUGCACGGGCCAGCGCUCCAGUGCCUCGGGCAGCACCGUGUGGUUGGUGUAGGCACACGUCUUGACAGUUAUGUCCCAGGCCUGGCACAUGGGGCGGGGCGUAGGAUGCUAGGACUGAGCCCUGGGCCGUCUGUACAGCAGCACGGAAGCCACUGCAGAGCCAGGUUCCAGGACCCCUGCCGGGGCCUCCCACUCUCCAACCUGGGAAGGAUCCUGAGGCAGAGAACAUGAGGCCCUGAAAUUCACCUUAUCCCACUCCAGCCGCUCCAGAUCCACAAGAAUCCUCAUCAGCUCAGGGAUGGCCAAGGACGGGUGGGUGUCGUUGAGCUGGAUGGCCACCUGUGUGGGAGGGGCUGUGAGUCAGACGAGGCCCAGACCAAGAGCAAAGGUGACUGUCGUUUGCUUGCUCCUUUGGAGGCUCCCAGAAGGCUGGGGCUGCUCUGGGGCUGAGGAGCUCCUGGGGACAGCUGGGGAGCAGCAGACAAAAGAGGAAGGCUCAGGUCGAUUGAAAAUCCCAGGCUGGGUACCUUAUCAGGGAAGGCGUCGAAGUUUGUGCGCACAGGAUCACGGCUGCCGAACUUGGAGGAUUUGAAGCGCCGGAUGAUGUCCUGGAGGGUGGCGGCCACUACGAAGUACUCCUGCUUCAACCGCAGCUCCUUCCCCUCGAAGAACUAUGGACAGUACAUGUGCCAGGGGUGUGGCCUAAGACUGAUGCAGGUGUGGCUAGGAGAGAGCCCACCCACACUAAGACACAGUACCCCACUAAGACCUGGGGGUCUUUGCUCCACUAAGUAACAGUAGGGUUGGGGGGAUGGUGUCACAAAUGGGGGUACAAAAGGACCGAGAGGAUUAUGGGUGUCACCUGCCUCUCUAGGAGCCAAGCAUCCUCCCACUCUAAGGACUAGGACUAGGGGAACGGGACACACAGUCUAUUCCAGUGCAAGGAGGACAGCCACAGCUCCCCUGACCCCUCUCCCUGGGACUCAGGCCUCCAGCCCCCAUCCCAAAGGCUGACGCACGUUAUCGUUGGGGUACAGCACACGAGAAAUGUUCUCAGCCAGGUUUCGAUCCAGCACAGCCUGGAUAUAGCCACCAACAUUGACUGAAGGACAAAGAGGAACAGGUUAAGCUGGGGCUGAGCGCAGGCCCGGCCAGGAUGGGGCAGGCUUCUGGCUCACAGUGGAUGAACUCACAGUCCUUGAGGUUGAAGUCAUUGGGAGCUUUGGCAGACCAGAGGCGCAUUGUGUUGACAACAUUGUUUCGGUAGCCAGGCACGGGUGUGUCAUAAGGCAUGGCCAGUACCACCUGUGAGGGGCACCUGAGUCAGGAGCUGGCUGGCUGCUGCGUUUGGGAAGCCGGCCCUAGGCACCUGCUUUGUCUGCCACAUGGGGCCUCCCUCAUCUGCAGGACUGGAACUCAAGAGAUAGUUCCUGAAUGCUACCAGCUCCUGACCUUGAGGUCUCAUCCCAGCCCUGUAAGCAAACUGUCAUCUCUCUGAAACUCACCUAUAAAGAGGAUAUGGCCCAACAUGGCUCUAGACACCCCCACCUCCUGCCUUGUUCAUUUAGUCUGUCAUGAGGAUUACGGGGAGAAGUAGAGCUACAGAGCUACAACAAGUUCAGAACCUCAGACGGAGCUCACUCUGCAGGGCCAGGCUAAGCCUCCAGCCUGGCUGGGGCAAAAGCAAGGGAAUACAUUAUCCUCAGCCUCAGCCUCAUCCUCACGUUUGUUUUUGGUUUUUCUUUUUUUGAGACAGGUCUCACUAUGUAACCCAGGCUGGCCUCAAAUUCACAUCGAUCUUCUGGCCUCAGCCUCCUGAGUACAGGAAUUGCAGGUGUGUUACCACCUGUAGGUGGAGACACUGGAUUCCUGAGAGACUGGAAGAGGGAGGCCAGGUCAGGCUGAAGAGGUUACAGAGGUCCAGUCUCUCCAGAGUCCUUGUCUGGUUGAUCACUUAGCUUAUUAGCAGUGACUAAUGCUGGCCGCACCUCCCAUGGCCAGCAAGCAUCGGCCUCCCCUCCCUACACGAGAACAGAGCAGAAUGGAAGCUGCAGCCCGAAAGAGCCCAGGCUCUGGGGCCAGAGCAGCACUGCAGGCUGCUGCAGCCUCUGCCUGGUGCCAUCGGAUGAACACCCCAUUCUGAAAGCCUAGAGGUUCUGUGCAGCCCACUGGGAAGCUGAGGGCCUGCAGCCCUGGAAAGAGGAUUGCCUGGACAGGGUCUUGGAUGCCUACUUUGGCUUUAUGCCCCCUAUAACUUGCUGUGUAAUUUUGAACAAGUCAAUUUCAAGUCUGGAA
This is a long non-coding RNA of Cavia porcellus (domestic guinea pig), 10244 nucleotides long. RefSeq lists it as uncharacterized. Lineage: Eukaryota; Metazoa; Chordata; Mammalia; Rodentia; Caviidae. The record is from RefSeq and is a predicted model, not a curated record. The transcript has 2 exons.